GUUUCGUUACUGUGACGGGUGGAAGGGGUUGCCCUUAGCAGGUGUACAGCCCGUCACCUGAUUGUGCCUGGUGCACGUGACGUGACGUUACACGGUAGCUCACAGUGACCCGCACUUCCUAUUUGUUUUAAAUGCCAUUCACGCGGCAAACGCAGCAUGUUUGGUUUGGCUCUGUCGGCGGUGAAUAUUAAGCACAAUACGGAUCUGCUUGUUCGUUGGAAUAUAACGCCAGUAGGAUUGUGAAGUGUUGCCUCUAACAGACGAACAGUUUUCACACCUACAACGCAUUUGGAACACUGGCGUCUUAACAUCGCAUGCGGGAUUUUAUGAGGAACACUGUAUAUCACUGUUUUUCCCAUAGCUAAUUUAUGAUGAGACAAGCACUUGAAUUGAGCUACUAGCCUGCAUAGUGUUGCUGUAAAACCACCUUCCGUUUACUUGUUUGUUGUCUUGGCGAGUUUUAUUUUCUUUCUGUUUUAUUCCUUUGGGUCAGUCGUAGCUGGGGCUAUCAUAGAGGGGAGUCCUUAUCCGCUUGCAACUUGUGUGUGCUGUGCAACGCCCGCUACUAGGGGCCGUAGUGGGAAGUGUGUGAUUUGUGGUGUAGUGGAUAGCCAUUGUGACUUGCCGUUGGUGUGGUGU
This is a long non-coding RNA of Clupea harengus (Atlantic herring), 639 nucleotides long. RefSeq lists it as uncharacterized. Lineage: Eukaryota; Metazoa; Chordata; Actinopteri; Clupeiformes; Clupeidae. The record is from RefSeq and is a predicted model, not a curated record. The transcript has 3 exons.